Molecule: long non-coding RNA, 531 nt
Organism: Mirounga angustirostris (Northern elephant seal)
Lineage: Eukaryota; Metazoa; Chordata; Mammalia; Carnivora; Phocidae
Exons: 4
Source: RefSeq, a predicted model, not a curated record
AAAUCCUGGAGAGAAUGCAUUGAGCAGCUAUCUGAGAACUAUGAAGAGCAAACAGCAAAGCUAUUGGAGAAGAUAAGAAUUUGAAGUAUAACCAAGCUGGCAUUAAAGGCCUGAAUAGAAGAAAAAGGCUGAUCCUCCCAAGAAGAAGAAACUCUACCGGACUAUGUAAUCAUAAGGAGACAUUAUGGUACCAGUAGUGAAAAAUCUUGGAACCCUCAUCAAAUAUAGCAGCAUAAUGUGCAGCUGAAUGCUAUGUCUGUAUAAUGCCAGAACAUUCCUAUGAACGUGAAGAAAAGAGAUUUAAUGAUUCAGGUGUUAUAUAAGCAUCUGCAUAUCUUAUGUCAUUCAAUUCUUAUAGCUGUUCUUGUCUGCUUGUGUGGUGAGUAGCCCGGAUUAGAAUUCUCCUGAACCAUAAAUGAUACAGACUAGACUAUAUGCAAUUUGGCUUGUAGUCAUUGAAUGAAAAAGCAUUCUACUUAUGGUAUACAAAUUUCAAUUCAUGCUUUUAAUCCCCAUUCAGUUAGUCGUUGG